Molecule: ribosomal RNA, 346 nt
Filed under: uncultured fungus
Lineage: Eukaryota; Fungi
Description: SSU rRNA
Rfam family: Eukaryotic small subunit ribosomal RNA
Source: RNAcentral
GUAGUCAUAUGCUUGUCUCAAAGAUUAAGCCAUGCAUGUCUAAGUAUAAGCAAUUAUACAGCGAAACUGCGAAUGGCUCAUUAUAUAAGUUAUCGUUUAUUUGAUAGUACCUUACUACUUGGAUAACCGUGGUAAUUCUAGAGCUAAUACAUGCUAAAAAUCCCGACUUCGGAAGGGAUGUAUUUAUUAGAUUAAAAACCAAUGCCCUCCGGGGCUCACUGGUGACUCAUGAUAACUUCUCGAAUCGCAUGGCCUUGCGCCGGCGAUGGUUCAUUCAAAUUUCUUCCCUAUCAACUUUCGAUGUUUGGGUAUUGGCCAAACAUGGUUGCAACGGGUAACGGGGAAU